This is an RNA transcript of Cucurbita moschata (crookneck pumpkin), 3204 nucleotides long. It is a transcript of the gene named altered inheritance of mitochondria protein 32-like, with no coding region annotated. The record is from RefSeq and is a predicted model, not a curated record. NCBI's taxonomy places the organism in Eukaryota, Viridiplantae, Streptophyta, Magnoliopsida, Cucurbitales, Cucurbitaceae. The transcript is spliced from 7 exons.
UUUCAUUUCACCUCCCGCGGAGGCGCGCAUUUAUUUUCCAUUUUCUUCCCGGCGACACGGCGGCGCCACCUAAUAAGUGGAGAUAUGCGAUUAUUGCGUCCCAAUCGUUCCCUUUCAUCUGUCGGCGAAAAUCUGUGUGAAUCUCUCUUUUUCUUCCGUUCUCCGAAGCUAUCCUCUUCGUACCUAACCUCGUCGCCGAUCUUACUCCACUCCCCGGAAUCUCACCGUGUCUCCACAUUUUCAACUGCCGAAGACGAGAAGUAUGGCUUCCGUCGGCCGGAGAUGUAUGGGAGAAGCCUUUCCGGAACCGUUGGUGCUUACGAGCGCCACGUGUUCCUCUGCUAUCGAAGUCAUGAGGUUUGGCCGUCCCGUGUUGAUGGCUCGGACGCUGAUCUGCUACCUAAACUCCUUUCCUCGGCCAUAAAAACUCGUGAAAACGAAAUUUCUGUUAAGACGAAGCUGACGAUAUGCGAGGCAGGGGAGGGAACUGAGCAUUCAGAUGGAGAUGUAUUGGUUUUUCCGGAAAUGAUCAAAUACAGGGGUCUGAAAGACGAAGAUGUGGAGAGCUUUGUUGAGAAGGUGCUUAUGGAUGGUAAACAGCAGGUUUAUGGGGCACAUGAUGCUUUGGCUGGCUCUUAUAUUUUUGUAUGUGCACAUCGUAGUCGAGAUAAGAGAUGUGGGGUAUGUGGAACAGCUCUCAUUACAAAACUUAUAGAGGAGAUUGAACUAAGAGGACUAAAGGAUCAGAUUUGUGUACAUGCGUGUUCACAUAUUGGUGGACACAAGUAUGCUGGAAACGUGAUUGUUUUUAGUCCAGAUCUAGAUGGGAGAAUCAUGGGCCAUUGGUAUGGCUAUGUUACUCCUGAUGAUGUGCCUGAAUUGCUGGAUAAACAUAUUGGAAAAGGAGAGUUAAUAGAAAGGCUUUGGAGGGGUCGAAUGGGGAGAAUCAAUGAUGAGGAAGGUAAAGAAGUAGAUGAAGACAAACUUCCUAGUGCUGAAGUCUCCAAGGAAACUAAGAACAAACCUUGGGAGAAGGACAUCCAGGGCAACGAUUAGAAAAGUAGCCGCAAGCAAGUGGGCAGGGCGCACCCUCCUGCUGAAUCAGAACUUCGGAACAGAGUGUUUCAAAGCUUCGCUUCCUUGUCCCUGGAUUCCAUAGUCUGCAAUGAUUGCACUCAAGGCCAAAUAUGAGCGUAUGACAUGAUGAUUCGAAAGCUGUAGAGCUUAAGACGCCACCUACAGCGAAUUUGGGCUCCAUUUACGAGUUGGUUGAUUGGCUAGUAUACUCUUUUAUGGCUCCAAAUUUCUGAAGUUUCCAGGAACAAGCGGCAAGUGACGCUAUUCACAUAAAGGUACCAGCUUCUUUCUUAAUUUUAUUCUUAAAUGUCAUGCAAAUAUUAUUCCAUGGCAUAGACAUAAAAUUCUGAGAAAAUGAAGCAUACACAGGGAAGGAGAAUGAAUUCUGUUAGACUACAUGUCUUGUUUCUCCUCAAGUUUCCUUGUCCCACCACCACAUUACUCACCUAAUCAAACCUUCCCACCGACCACGUGAAAAUCUUAAAAGUAAUUCUGGAAUAGUAUCAGCAGGCUACCAUGGAAUAGUAUGAGCAAAGUUGGAAGUUCCUGAAUUUCUAUCUUUGAAUUUGCCAAUCCUCACUUUCUUUCUGCAGAAGUUUGAGUGAUUACAAAUAUAUUACCAAACUAGAUCAUUCUUCUUGGACCCGUCAAGGCUAUUUAGGGAUAUUCCUAUCUCAUUCUUCUUACCCCCAAUUUGACUUUUUGUGGAUAGUCAUUAACUUCCAUUCAUUUUUCUUUUCAACUUGCCCAUGUGGAGGCCUGGAAAUACCAUCACAGACUGAAACAUUAUCAUUCUGGUUAAAGUAGAACUUUUGAUAAGUAUUCUGACUUUAUAGGUAUCUUGUAUUCCGUUGUGAAUAAAAUUUAACCUUGGUCAAAUGAGAUAGCACGCCAAGUUGGUCUAAUGAAAUAAAGACCAAUCUAAAUAGUAGAGAGUUUAAAGGAAAUGAGAUGAAGUCACGCUGGCUACUUGCCUAAGAUUUAGUAUCCUACGAGUUUUUUUUUUUUUUUUUAUAAUCUUGUCAAAUCCUUAUCCUAUAAGGAUAGUCGAGAGAUGCACAACUUGACCCGAAUACUCUCUCUCUCUCUCUCUCUCUCUAUAUAUAUACAUAUAUAUAAUUACUAUGGGAGUUACUCUUUCCCUCCCUGCUGUGACCUUCCAUUCAUCAGCUUUUGUUAUACUUCAUCAUUUUGGGUCAUUUCAUAACUUCAAAACACCACAAUCCACUUCUCUCUCUUUUCCAUGGAUGGUCUAUGGAAAUCAUCCUUCAGCCUUCCACUGUGUUUGGAAAAAAGUAGCUAGUGAUGGUUUAGCAACAAAUGUUGGUUUAUUUAGUUCUACGACUUGAGAAAGUGUCUCUAAGGAGUACUCGAGUCAAAAGCACCUCAGCCGUAUUUGGAUCAAAAGCAAAAACAAAAAACUGUCUCUAAGGAGUACUCGAGUCAAAAGCACCUCAGCCGUAUUUGGAUCAAAAGCAAAAACAAAAAACUACGCCUUUCGAAACAAGAGUAAUAGCUUUUAACAUAGAAAACUCAAAAGACCAGCUUUAUCAAGCAUGCCCAAAUUAAUCAGACACCACCUAAUAUACUAAAGCAAUUCCAUAUUUGAGCAAAGGGGGAAAAUAAUGUUGUUGGGUUAUUUCCAAAAGGGGAAUAAAAAUAAAUCAAUUUUAAUUACAUGUGGGAUCCAUCAUAAUAAUACUAGAGACGUAAAAGAUUAAAAAAAAAAAAAAAAAAUUAAAAAAAAGUUGUGAGACUUAUUAAUGUAAUGUCUCAAGCAGCCUACAAUUUGGACUCCUCAUUACACGUGACUUGAAUUGUUUCAAAACUAUGAGUUGUCUCUAUGAACAAUUUGAAAACAACUUUAACCUUUCUAUUUUGUAUUUUUGUCAUCUUAAAAUCUCUUUCGUUUUGCCCUCUCUUCCCUUUGGUACUUUGGGUGUCAUUUUUAAAUUAGCAUUACAAAUAAUAAAAAUGAAAGUGAGGAAAAAUAAUAUAUUGAAAUGGGAUCUUAUUUCUUAGAAGUAAGAUCCAAUUUACUAGCCUAGGGCUUUGCCCAAAUAUCGGUCAUAUUUGACAGGCACUCCUUGGCCCAACUUUCCACUUAGUUGAAAAAGGAGAAAAAAA